This 20-nucleotide unclassified non-coding RNA is filed under the name Chlamydomonas reinhardtii. RNAcentral describes it as "small RNA Cre_1310". The record is from RNAcentral. Lineage: Eukaryota; Viridiplantae; Chlorophyta; Chlorophyceae; Chlamydomonadales; Chlamydomonadaceae.
CGGCAGGCCGGUUGUCAAUG